This 665-nucleotide ribosomal RNA is filed under the name Brevibacterium iodinum. Its description in RNAcentral is "bacterial SSU rRNA". It matches the Rfam family "Bacterial small subunit ribosomal RNA", at positions 72 to 748 of the family's 1533-position model. Lineage: Bacteria; Bacillati; Actinomycetota; Actinomycetes; Micrococcales; Brevibacteriaceae. The record is from RNAcentral.
CCCGAAGCUUGCUUCGGGUGGAUGAGUGGCGAACGGGUGAGUAACACGUGAGUAACCUGCCCCUGAUUUCGGGAUAAGCCUGGGAAACCGGGUCUAAUACCGGAUACGACCAACCCUCGCAUGAGGGUUGGUGGAAAGUUUUUCGAUCAGGGAUGGGCUCGCGGCCUAUCAGCUUGUUGGUGGGGUAAUGGCCCACCAAGGCGACGACGGGUAGCCGGCCUGAGAGGGCGACCGGCCACACUGGGACUGAGACACGGCCCAGACUCCUACGGGAGGCAGCAGUGGGGAAUAUUGCACAAUGGGGGAAACCCUGAUGCAGCGACGCAGCGUGCGGGAUGACGGCCUUCGGGUUGUGAACCGCUUUCAGCAGGGAAGAAGCGAAAGUGACGGUACCUGCAGAAGAAGUACCGGCUAACUACGUGCCAGCAGCCGCGGUAAUACGUAGGGUACGAGCGUUGUCCGGAAUUAUUGGGCGUAAAGAGCUCGUAGGUGGUUGGUCACGUCUGCUGUGGAAACGCAACGCUUAACGUUGCGCGUGCAGUGGGGUACGGGCUGACUAGAGUGCAGUAGGGGAGUCUGGAAGUCCUGGUGUAGCGGUGAAAUGCGCAGAUAUCACGACGGAACACCGGUGGCGAAGCUGGCACUCUGGGCUGUAACUGACACUG